RNAcentral lists this ribosomal RNA (253 nucleotides) under uncultured prokaryote. RNAcentral describes it as "partial 16S ribosomal RNA". It matches the Rfam family "Bacterial small subunit ribosomal RNA", at positions 524 to 776 of the family's 1533-position model. The record is from RNAcentral.
UACGGAGGGUGCAAGCGUUAUCCGGAUUCACUGGGUUUAAAGGGUGCGUAGGUGGGCAGGUAAGUCAGUGGUGAAAUCUCCGGGCUUAACUCGGAAACUGCCAUUGAUACUAUUUGUCUUGAAUGUCGUGGAGGUUAGCGGAAUAUGUCAUGUAGCGGUGAAAUGCUUAGAUAUGACAUAGAACACCAAUUGCGAAGGCAGCUUACUACGGGGUCAUUGACACUGAGGCACGAAAGCGUGGGGAUCAAACAGG